This 416-nucleotide ribosomal RNA is filed under the name uncultured bacterium. RNAcentral describes it as "bacterial SSU rRNA". It matches the Rfam family "Bacterial small subunit ribosomal RNA", at positions 355 to 776 of the family's 1533-position model. The record is from RNAcentral.
UCGGGAAUAUUGGGCAAUGCCCGAAAGGGUGACCCAGCGACGCCGCGUGGAGGAUGAAGGCUUUCGAGUCGUAAACUCCUGUUCGGGGAGACGAAGUCCCGCAAGGGAUUGACGGUAUCCCCGGAGUAAGUCCCGGCUAACUCCGUGCCAGCAGCCGCGGUAAGACGGAGGGGGCAAGCGUUGUCCGGAUUGACUGGGUGUAAAGGGUGCGUAGGUUGUUCGGCGGGUCCAGCAUUAAAUCCCCCGGCCUAACCGGGGAAAUGUGUUGGAAACUACCAAGCUGGAGUCUGAAAGAGGAGAGCGGAACUCCUGGUGUAACGGUGAAAUGUGUGGAUAUCAGGAGGAACACCGGUGGCGAAGGCGGCUCUCUAGUUCAAGACUGACACUGAGGCACGAAAGCCGGGGGAGCAAACAGG